CCUACGGGUGGCUGCAGUGGGGAAUAUUGCACAAUGGGGGAAACCCUGAUGCAGCGACGCCGCGUGAGUGAAGAAGUAUUUCGGUACGUAAAGCUCUAUCAGCAGGGAAGAAAAUGACGGUACCUGACUAAGAAGCCCCGGCUAACUACGUGCCAGCAGCCGCGGUAAUACGUAGGGGGCAAGCGUUAUCCGGAUUUACUGGGUGUAAAGGGAGCGUAGACGGCAGCGCAAGUCUGGAGUGAAAUCCCAUGGCUUAACCAUGGAACUGCUUUGGAAACUGGGGAUCUAGAGUGUGCGAGAGGUAUGCGGAAUGCGUGGUGUAGCGGUGAAAUGCAUAGAUAUCACGCAGAACCCCGAUUGCGAAGGCAGCAUACCGGUGCACAACUGACGCUCAGGCACGAAAGCGUGGGUAUCGAACAGGAUUAGAUACCCCGGUAGUC
RNAcentral lists this ribosomal RNA (440 nucleotides) under uncultured bacterium. RNAcentral describes it as "partial 16S ribosomal RNA". It matches the Rfam family "Bacterial small subunit ribosomal RNA", at positions 338 to 795 of the family's 1533-position model. The record is from RNAcentral.